Orcinus orca (killer whale) is the source of this 4680-nucleotide long non-coding RNA. RefSeq lists it as uncharacterized. The record is from RefSeq and is a predicted model, not a curated record. NCBI's taxonomy places the organism in Eukaryota, Metazoa, Chordata, Mammalia, Artiodactyla, Delphinidae. The transcript is spliced from 5 exons.
UGCGGGCGCCGGACGCGCGGGGCUCCCAGCCGUCGCCCGCCCGCGCCGCCGACUGCAGCCUGCGCUCGGCGCUCGGCGCCCGGCGCCCGGGCGGACGGCGCCCACAAGGUGGCAGUGCCGCGCUGCUGGUGUCCUGGCCGGGUUCCGCGCGGGGCGCGCGGGGAGGCCGGAGCCCGCGCGUCCCUCCUGCAAAAGUUUUAAUGAACAGACCCACCCGGGCCUGGGGCGCUCCCAGGCCUGCUGGCCGCGCCGCUUCGAUUUCGGAGUUCCUCUGGGAGAGUUGUACGCUUCGAUGGCGUCUCUCUUUGUCCUCGACUCAGAGAAUCAGGAUUCGGAGCCUGUAAUUGAAGCAGGAGUCCGGCCAUGGCUGCGGAGAUGCCGUCACCCUAAGGCAAGAGGGAGGCAUCUUCUGAGGAAUCGCCUUGAGAACCCGAGGCACGUCUGUUCAUACCUUCAAUCCUGACAAGCUGUUUUUGAAGGCGAAUAUGAUGUUUGGAACCAUCUAGAAGUCAUUUGGAGUCCAGUGAAAAAGCCAGCGAUCAAGGGGAGAAUAAAGGUCUGAGUGAAAAGGUAGCAGCCAAACAAAGGAGCGUGGAAGGGGAAGAGUUCCAACAGCAGUCGGACAAGAUCACUUCAGGCAGAAGACUAGAUGUAUCACCACCAAUUCAGGUGGCAUACGAAGAAGAUCAAACUCUUCAUCUCCUUCUCCUGACUUCUGCCCUUCGUAAUUUGUCCAGACCCAGGAGGUCAAGUUCUCGGUGAUGUCUCCUUCCUCUGCGGUAGCAGCUGUCUCCAGGCUUCAUGCGAACAGGCUCAGUAUGACCAGCGGGGACAAUCCACACGUGGUCCAAAGCUGGGCCCUGACUGCCUGUGCGUGUGUUAUGACAUGAAGCUCAUCCUUACCACCACUUUAAGAAAAAAAAUAGAGAGACAGACAAAAUAUUUUCAGAUCUGAGCAGGCACGUGGGGCCAGCUAGUUAACAGGAGAAAGAAAACAGAACAACAAUGAAAAAAAAAAGAAUUUGAUCUUGCUAGUGGUCAGUUACAAACACCUGAAUGGACGAACAUUGACGCUCCAGCCAGACUGAAUCAGCUUUAGAAGGGUGUUCUAGAAUGCUCUUUGUUAUUUUACUCUCCCUCCUUUUUCCCUUCUCUCUCUGCACUGCCCAAGGUCUGGGCUCUACUCCCGGUGUCCCAAAUGGACAUGGUUGGAUUCAUCAAGCCUCUUUCAAGGCCCUGUUUCUACCUUUGUAUUUGUAUAUAGGAUUUCUACUCCCUCAAAAAGCCUCCCCCCGCCAAACUGACUAAGCUCUGGGCCCUACAAAACAUGGGUGCUCUCCGGGGAGCUGACAGGCAUCCCCGGCCCCAACCUGGGGACCUGCGGGGGCUCCCUGCCGUCUUAAGUUUUUCACAUUCUUCCUGGUGGAGCAUCUAUAUGGCAGACCUUCCUCAUGCUGACAACAAUGGCUUCUCACUUCGUGACUUGAGUUUUUUAUGCUAAAAUGCUCCCUCCCUUCCCAGGAGUCAGAGGCCCGAGAAGAUAAGUGACUUAAAGGAAAGUCUACCUCUUGAGUUAGGCAUUUUUGCUUUCGCUUACGGAUGAGAAAGAGGAUGCUCAAAGCGCCGAGUGAGUCAUUUAUCUAAGAUCACAGAGCUGGUUAGAAACCCAGUCAGAACUUGAACCCAGGUCCUCAACUCCUAAACUGCUGUUUCUUGUUCUAUUCCAUAUUUCUAAUCCAUCAGAGGCAUUCAUUUGAAGAAAGAAAGAAAUUAGGUUUUUCUGAUCCGAGCUAGUCAAGAAGCACAUGGGUCUUUUUGAGUCACCGAGACCUCAUGCUCCCAGCAUUUUCAGUAAAGACAUAACUUUUGAGGCUGCGUUCUCUCCUUUCAUUUUUUUUACACUAAUGGGUGUUUCAGUAGGAAUGGGAUUCCUACAUUUCAGAUUCUAAUGUGCUUACUCCACUUAACGAGGUUUGGCUUAAUUAUUAAGAGUGCUGUGAGGCAUGAGGCCAGAGCAGUCCCAACGUGGCUACAUCCUGUGCGUGUGGAUAUCUGUGCUCGUGGCAGGAUGGAGAGGCCAGGGAGGCCAAGAGGUGGGGGGCUGAGAGGCAGGACCUCCUUGUCCCCCAUCUGUGACAUGGUGGGCUUCCAGGUGAGGAUACAGUGGGGUGUGCAGUGCAGAGGUGACAAGGAAGGGACACUAUUAGUUUGGUAGGGUUGCUGUAACAAACUACUACAAACAAAUGACUUAAGCAACAGAAAUUUACUGUCUCACAGUUCUGGAAAUUAGAAUUCUGACACUGAGAUGCCGGGAUGGCCAAGCUCCCUCUGAAGGCCCUGGGGAAGAAUCGGUCCCAUGCCUCUCUGUUAGCUUCAAGUAGUUCCUUGGAUUGUGACAGCACAGCUCCAGUCUUCACGUGAUGUCCUCUGGUGUGUGUGUGUCUAUGUCCAAGUCACCUCUUUUACUAAGGACGUAAGUCAUAUUGGAUUAGGGGGCCACUGUACUUCAGUAUGACCUCAUCUUAACUAGUUGUAUCUGCAAUGACCCUAUUUCCAAAUACAGCCACAUUGUGAGAUUAGGGCUUUAACAGGUGAAUUCUGGGGGACACGUUUUAACCCAUAAUGGCCCACCCUCUGGUCCCCCCAAUUUACGUCCUUCUCACAUGCAAAAUACAUUCAUCUUAUCUCAACAGCCCCGAAAUUCUUAACUUAUUCCAGCAUCAACGCUAAGUCCUAAACCUCAUCUAAAUAAGGUAUGGGUGAAAGUCGGAGUAUGAUUCACUCUGGGGCAAAAUUCCUCUCUGUAUGAGAACCUAUGAAACCAGACCACAAGUUAUCUGCUUCCAAAACAUGAUGGUGGGACAGUCAAAGGACAGACCUUACCAUUCCAAAAGGGAGAAAUCAGAAGGAAAAAGGGUCAUGUGGCCCAAGAAAGCCUGAAACCUAACAGUAAGUUCCAUUAGAUUUAAGCCUUGAGAAUAAUCCUCUUUGGCUCAAUGUUUUGUCCUUUGAGUCCACCCACAUCAUGAAGGGUGAUCUGCUUUUCUCUCUGCUUUUCUCAAAGUCCACUGAUUUAAAUGUUAAUCACAUCUAAAAAAAAAAAAAAAUGCUUUCACAGCAACAUCUAGACUGGAGUUUAACCAAACAACUGGGCAACAUAUCCUAGACAAGUUAACACAUAAAAUUAGCUAUCACUGAUAUUUUUUGAAAAAAGUACUAUAAUGUGUCCAAGACGGGGGAAAAAUCAGGAAGAGACACUUAGAAGAGAAGGUGGCGAAGACUUUCAGGCAGUCUGAGCUGGGCGAUGUACCCCUGGGGCAGCACUCAGAAGGGUCAGCUGAGGAGUCGUUUUAAUCUGUCCCAGUGGUUUGGAUCAGAGAGGUGGGCAGAAAUGGUGGUGUGGAGGGUGGGAAACACAGAUGACUAGAAAGUCAGGGCUGUGGCCCAAGGAGAAGCCCUAAAAGAGAACUGGCUGGUCUGGAGCUAGGUGCACUGGCAGGGAGUGGUGGGCUGAAUGUUUGUGUCCCCCCAUGUUCAUAUGCUGGAGCCCUAACCCCCAAUGGGAUGGUAUUUGGAGGUGGACCUUUGGGAGGUGAUCAGGUUUAGAUGAGGUCAUGAAGAUGGAGCUCCCAUGAUGCGAUUAGUGCCUUUAUAUAAAGAGGAAGAGACACCAGAGUUUCCUUUCUGUGUCACGUGAGUGGGAAGAAUCUGGGAGCUGGAUGUCACUGAGAACUGAAUCUGCCCGGCCCUUUCUCUUGGAUUUGCAUCCUUUAGAACUCUGAGAAAUAAAUGUCUGCUGUUUAAGCCACUCAGUCUUUGGUGUUUUGUCGCAGCGGCAUGAGCUAAGACACAGAGGAAGCCACUCAUGGCCUCCUGCACGUGCCUCACCUGGGCAAUAUUCUAUUGUACUGUGCUUGUCUCCAUGUCUAUCUCCCCACGAGAACUCAGCUUCCAUGGGUUGGUCUCAUGAGAGGAUGUCUCCUCAGCAACCAGCACAGGACCUGGUGUCCAGAAGGUACUCAAGUAAGGGUUGUUGAAUGAAAAUGUGAGUGGACUCUACCCAACUUCUUAAAACUUGGUGGUGGCAAGAAAAUUUUAUAAUGGUGGAUGGGGAUGGAUGCGGUUUAGCUUGUGGGGUGUAGCAAACCUAUCCUGAAGCUGUGUUGACCGGGCAAACACACUGCUUCUCCUUGGAACAUGUGGUUAUUUGAGUUGGCUUGGGGAAGGCCGAUGGCUGAAAAGAGAGGUGUUAAAACUCCCAGACACCCCUGGGAGUCUACUAAAGCCUGGAGGUUGUGUGAGCCUGCGUUAAGACGAGGUGACCUUUUUUUUUUCUUUUUACUGUACGCGGGCCUCUCACUGUUGUGGCCUCUCCCGUUGCGGAGCACAGACUCCAGACGUGCAGGCUCAGCGGCCAUGGCUCACGGGCCCAGCCGCUCUGCGGCAUGUGGGAUCUUCCCGGACCGGGGCACGAACCCGUGUCCCCUGCAUCGGCAGGUGGACUCUCAACCACUGCGCCACCAGGGAAGCCCAGAGGUGACCUUUUAAGAAGACCAGCCUGUGAGUGCCUUUCUGCUCUUAGUCUGUAACCAGAGAUCUUAAUCUCUACACAGAGUAAAGGUUCACACCUAGAUAUUCUGUAGUCUAGAGGGCGUGGAGUGAGAAGGAAGGAAGGAGCAC